UAACACAGGUGCUGCAUGGCUGUCGUCAGCUCGUGUCGUGAGAUGUUGGGUUAAGUCCCGCAACGAGCGCAACCCUUGUCAUUAGUUGCUACAUUCAGUUGGGCUACUCUAAUGAGACUGCCGGUGACAAGCCGGAGGAAGGUGGGGAUGACGUCAAGUCCUCAUGGCCCUUAUAGGUGGGGCUACACACGUCAUACAAUGGCUGGUACAAAGGGUUGCCAACCCGGCGAGGGGGAGCUAAUCCCAAUAAAGCCAGUCGUAGUCCGGAUCGUAGUCUGCAACUCGACUACGUGAAGUCGGAAUCGCUAGUAAUCGUAGAUCAGCAUGCUACGGUGAAUACGUUCCCGGGCCUU
This 353-nucleotide ribosomal RNA is filed under the name uncultured Rhodoferax sp. Its description in RNAcentral is "bacterial SSU rRNA". It matches the Rfam family "Bacterial small subunit ribosomal RNA", at positions 1030 to 1382 of the family's 1533-position model. The record is from RNAcentral. Lineage: Bacteria; Pseudomonadati; Pseudomonadota; Betaproteobacteria; Burkholderiales; Comamonadaceae.